Molecule: ribosomal RNA, 492 nt
Filed under: uncultured bacterium
Lineage: Bacteria
Description: partial 16S ribosomal RNA
Rfam family: Bacterial small subunit ribosomal RNA
Source: RNAcentral
AGUGAACGCUGGCGGUAGGCCUAACACAUGCAAGUCGAACGGCAGCACAGUAAGAGCUUGCUCUUACGGGUGGCGAGUGGCGGACGGGUGAGGAAUACAUCGGAAUCUACUUUUUCGUGGGGGAUAACGUAGGGAAACUUACGCUAAUACCGCAUACGACCUACGGGUGAAAGCAGGGGAUCUUCGGACCUUGCGCGAUUGAAUGAGCCGAUGUCGGAUUAGCUAGUUGGCGGGGUAAAGGCCCACCAAGGCGACGAUCCGUAGCUGGUCUGAGAGGAUGAUCAGCCACACUGGAAAUGAGACACGGUCCAGACUCCUACGGGAGGCAGCAGUGGGGAAUAUUGGACAAUGGGCGCAAGCCUGAUCCAGCCAUACCGCGUGGGUGAAGAAGGCCUUCGGGUUGUAAAGCCCUUUUGCUGGGAAAGAAAAGCAGCAGGUUAAUACCCCGCUGUUCUGACGGUACCCAAAGAAUAAGCACCGGCUAACUUCGUG